Molecule: ribosomal RNA, 62 nt
Filed under: Serratia marcescens
Lineage: Bacteria; Pseudomonadati; Pseudomonadota; Gammaproteobacteria; Enterobacterales; Yersiniaceae
Also listed under: 8 other names
Description: partial 16S ribosomal RNA
Source: RNAcentral
UUUAAUUGAAGAGUUUGAUCAUGGCUCAGAUUGAACGCUGGCGGCAGGCUUAACACAUGCAA